GACGAACGCUGGCGGCGUGCCUAACACAUGCAAGUCGAGCGGAGAUUGCAGCAAUGUAAUCUUAGCGGCGGACGGGUGAGUAACGCGUGGGUAACCUGCCUUAAACAGGGGGAUAACACAGGGAAACUUGUGCUAAUACCGCAUAACAUACCGAUACGGCAUCGUAUUGGUAUCAAAGGAGAAAUCCGGUAUAAGAUGGACCCGCGUCCGAUUAGCUAGUUGGUGGUGUAAUGGACCACCAAGGCGACGAUCGGUAGCCGAACUGAGAGGUUGAUCGGCCACAUUGGGACUGAGACACGGCCCAGACUCCUACGGGUGGCUG
RNAcentral lists this ribosomal RNA (322 nucleotides) under uncultured Bacillota bacterium. RNAcentral's name for it is "bacterial SSU rRNA". It matches the Rfam family "Bacterial small subunit ribosomal RNA", at positions 28 to 351 of the family's 1533-position model. Lineage: Bacteria; Bacillati; Bacillota. The record is from RNAcentral.